Molecule: ribosomal RNA, 397 nt
Filed under: Austrochloritis agamemnon
Lineage: Eukaryota; Metazoa; Mollusca; Gastropoda; Stylommatophora; Camaenidae
Description: partial 16S ribosomal RNA
Rfam family: Bacterial large subunit ribosomal RNA
Source: RNAcentral
CAAAAACAUAGUUAUAUGGAGUUAGAUAUAGUUUUUCUGCUCAAUGAGACAUUAAAUAGCCGCAGUACCCUGACUGUGCUAAGGUAGCAAAAUCAAUUGUCUUCUAAUUAAAGUCGCGUAUGAAUGAAUAUAUGGGGGUGAGCUUUACCUGAUACGAUACACAAAUUUACUGAUAGAGUGAAAAUUCUCUUCCAUUUUCAAUAGACGAGAAGACCCUGGAAAUUUUUAAAUUUUUUUGUUGGGGCAACAUAGUAGCAAAUAACCUACUUAAAGUAUAUGAAAUUUUUUUUGUAUAGUAAAUUACUCUAGGGAUAACAGCAUAAUACUGUAGUGUUUGUGACCUCGAUGUUGGAUUAGGAAGUUGUGGCUUAGAAGGUCCCCAGUCGUSCUCUGUUCG